This 29-nucleotide non-coding RNA is filed under the name Homo sapiens (human). The record is from RNAcentral. Lineage: Eukaryota; Metazoa; Chordata; Mammalia; Primates; Hominidae.
UCUAAUGGUGAUUGGAACUCAAAGCCAGU